This 516-nucleotide long non-coding RNA is filed under the name Homo sapiens (human). RNAcentral describes it as "non-protein coding lnc-GTDC1-9:1". The record is from RNAcentral. Lineage: Eukaryota; Metazoa; Chordata; Mammalia; Primates; Hominidae.
AGAAUUUCUCCGCAAGAGCUAAACAAAACAUACAUCUUCCUUAGCAUGAAUUGGACUGGGGGCGGAGUGGGAGGGCUUGGAGGAAAGGGGAAAGAAGGGACUAUAUUUGAAUAAAUAUGAAUAAAUGUAUUAGAUACUUUUCACAAUCAGAUAACUUUUAAAAAGGUCAUUUUUUAUCUUUCUAAUAAUGUAAGCCUUAAUAAAAGCAAAUCUUAGUCACAAAUUUGAGGAGACUGCCCAAUAAUAAGUUUACAUGUAUUUGAACUGAAAAAUUGUUAACCAUGCUUUUGCUCCAAGAUGUGUGAGGCCAUUCAGGGGCUGUAGGGCCCUGGAUAUACACACAAACAAGUGUGUGUAUAUCUGGAGCCCCACACAUUGUAAUAAACACAGCUGCAUUUAUUUGACUAUGUGAUCCCAUGUACAUGUAAAAACAUUCAAACAAACACACUCAGCGGAUUUAUUUAUUGUGCAAUGGGGCAAUUAUUCAAAUAAACAUGCUCAAUGCAAUUAUUUGAA